GAUGAACGCUGGCGGCGUGCCUAAUACAUGCAAGUCGAGCGAACGGACGAGAGUGCUUGCACUCUCUGAUGUUAGCGGCGGACGGGUGAGUAACACGUGGGUAACCUACCUAUAAGACUGGGAUAACUUCGGGAAACCGGAGCUAAUACCGGAUAAUAUUUAGCUUCGCAUGAAGCAAUAGUGAAAGACGGUUCUGCUGUCACUUAUAGAUGGACCCGCGGUGUAUUAGCUAGUUGGUGAGGUAACGGCUCACCAAGGCAACGAUACAUAGCCGACCUGAGAGGGUGAUCGGCCACACUGGGACUGAGACACGGCCCAGACUCCUACGGGAGGCAGCAGUAGGGAAUCUUCCGCAAUGGACGAAAGUCUGACGGAGCAACGCCGCGUGAGUGAAGAAGGUUUUCGGAUCAUAAAACUCUGUUGUAAGGGAAGAACAAGUACGUUAGUAACUGAACGUACCUUGACGGUACCUUACCAGAAAGCCACGGCUAACUACGUGCCAGCCGCCGCAGUAA
Molecule: ribosomal RNA, 515 nt
Filed under: uncultured bacterium
Lineage: Bacteria
Description: partial 16S ribosomal RNA
Rfam family: Bacterial small subunit ribosomal RNA
Source: RNAcentral